This 3643-nucleotide long non-coding RNA is filed under the name Apis mellifera (honey bee). Its description in RNAcentral is "uncharacterized LOC100578866, transcript variant X4". Lineage: Eukaryota; Metazoa; Arthropoda; Insecta; Hymenoptera; Apidae. The record is from RNAcentral.
AUAAUUUUAAUUGUUAAAAUUAAUUUGUUACAAAUUAAGUCGAGUGAAUACAAAAGAUUCCGAUCAGUGAAGAAAAUUUAAUGAAAGACGAUCGAUAUAAAUCGGGGAAAACAAUUUUGUGAACGGAAGAGAAAAAUGGAAUUUGCGAGAGUGUUUCUCGUAGAAAAAUAGCAGAACGGCCACGGUAUUACGACAUAACUUCUCGCCAACGGUAUAAACUCCAGCAGAGCCAUUGUCUGUCGCCCGAGGCAACCGUUCAACGAAAAGCGAGCUUCAUUGUCAUGAUUCCGUAACCUAUGAAUGGUUGGCUAUCUCGUUUAACUUCAAUUACCGUGCUUCCCUUUCAUUUCAUUGCUAGUCACUGUCAAGAAGCUGGGACACAACACCAAUGUUCUCUCAUUCUUCUCCUUUUUCCUUCUUUUUCUCCUUUUUUCCCUUUUUAUUCCGUACAUAACCUAAAACCUUUGUUGCGGAAAAACCAUCUCACCGUCAUGUUGGAUUACUCGUUAAAUUUUCCUUUCUAGAAACAUCUCGUUCUACAUCUGAUUCAAUAAUAUAAAAGAGACAGGGAUAACGAUAUUAAUUUGUAUUUUUUUUCAGGUAAAAACGAUCGAAUUUCUUCAAAUCUGAUCGGAAUGUGAUAAAAUUUUCUUCGUCCAUAAUAUAAAAGGAGCAAGAAAAAUAAAUUGACAUAGGAAAGUAAACGAUAUAUGAUGAUGAGAAAGCAGUUCAAAGAAAACAAUAGGAUCCCCCGUUGAAACAUCGAGUAUAUCCGGUUGAAGAUGGGUUGUGGCUGCAGGGGGUCCAAUUUAACGAUGUAGGCAAACGAUCGAGGCGUUAAUUACUUUCUAAUCGUUGCUUGUCGGUAUAAAAAAAAAAAAAAAGAAAAAAAGAAAGGUAAGGAAAGAAAAAUCUAACUUUGUCGAAAGUUAUAUAUUUCUCAUCGUACCUUUUCUCCGUCUAUCGACUGGUCGAUCUCCAUUAUUAUUUUUGUCGAUAUCGAAAUCGACGUAUUACUAUACCGGAUGGAAGAAAGUCAACCUUCGAGAGAUACACAGACCACCUGGAUUUCUUCCUGGGAGGUCGCAAAAACUGGAUGUAUUAAACAACCAUCAAAAAAAUAAAAGAAGCUCAGAGAUCAAAAAAAGGAAUCGCAGGUUUCGGGAGUCGAGGAACAGGCAAUAAUUAAAAGAUAUGCACUUCUUUCCUUUGACACCAGUUUUGUAUAAUAUUUUUUUUUUCAGAUACGUAUGAUGAGAAACGCUUGGAAAUUGUAAUAUUCAUAAAAGUUUGAAAGAAUAAAUGAAUUCUUUAUUUCAAAGAUCUUCCAUGGUAAAAACGAUUUACCAUGAGGUGAUCCUUCAAGAUCAUUUUCCUACGUCUAUAUACCGGGAAUCCCUUGGCUGUGAGAAAGUCCCAAGGCAGGAAGUGACUAUAAAUAUUUGCCUAGCUAGCCGUUUUUACGAUUACAACGCGAUUCAGGAGGACUGACUGGAGCUCGAUUGUACUCGUGUGACGUAAUGCUCCGUUUUGCACUGUAUUUGGUGUUGGAACAAGUUGAAGAAGGACCAUUUAAAGUUGCGAAAUGACAAAGAAGACUUUAUCACUACUAUUUUUAGAAAUUCCAUGAAUCUAUAAUCUUUUCUUAGUCAUUUUACAUGAUAUUAGUACAAGGUUAAAAAUUUAAAAAAUGAAAAAAUCUCUGUAAUAAUAUCUACUUUGCUAUAUGAGAAAUUGUAAACUCUAAAAUGAGGAAGUCUAGAGUUAAUAAUGUUCAACGAUUUGAGCAAAAUUGCAACUUUAGCUUGGAUGAUACUAUAAAUAAGUACUUUAUAUUAUACCUGUAUUGAGACAUGCUUGCGAAAAUAAUCAACAUUAACUAGUUGAACUAUAAUUAUCCUAUCAAUCUUGUACAUGGCAUGAAGGAAUUAGUCAUGCUUCUGAAACCAUUAAAAACGGACGGAGAGGGAGAAAGAAAUGAUUCACGAUAAACGCGGAGGAUCCAGUUGUACUACGAAGGCAAUAUACUAGAGGGAAGCUAAUAAGCAACCACAUAGAAGUUGGCAAGGCCUAAUAUCAGCCUAAAUAUACACGACGUGAAAGUUCAAAAGGAAGGGUCUUAAAAAGGCUAUGUGGAUUAAAAAAAACCAUAGCCGAGCCUACUGAUCUGUAAAAAAAAUUAUGAAGAUGCUCAUAUUGCAACAAAGCUAAUCUGCUCAAUCUUUAUAGCUUCCAUCAUCAACUCUUCAUCAACGCAAAGAGAACUUGGUCGCAAUUAGAAUAUCACAAAUUGUAUUCGAAGAUAACAGGCUACAAAUGCAUUAAAAACACAACAAUAAUUCAUAGAAAGAAAUUAAAAACUUGCUUCUACAACAAGAGAUUUCUUUUGUUCAAGUUAAAGUAAAGAAAAUUGUAAAGUGAUUCUCUAUUUUAUGAACAAGAUCCGGAAUUAGCCUCUGAAAAUAUUUAUUUUUCUUGAAUUAUCUCAAGAGAAGAAAGAGAGAAGAAAUCGACAGGAAGAGAGAACACGAUUGAAUCUUUAUUGUUAAUCCAUGGAUAUAGAAAAGAAUCGAAGAGUCCUCGUCUCGAUACUUGUCGUCGUAGAAACGAGAUCACGGGUAUCAGAGUUUUCACAGAGUCCUAGGAAAAUAUUAUCGUAAGAGGGAAAGAAAGAAACGCGAUUUCCAAUUGGAGGAGCAGUUUCAACGUCGAGAAGAAACUCCUCCGUCCAUUUUCCAUCCUCUCGUGAAUCCGCCUCUCCCUUUCCCUCGCCGUACAGGUACGACUCGGGUCGACUAACUUUGCCUCGUUUGGAGCCCAUUCUUCCCCAUUCAUUCCCUGUGUCGUUUUCUCUCCGAGGACAAUCCACGGUGUCCUGGGGUCUCACGCCUCGGCAUUGACCGCUACCAUUCAUCGGUUCAUUCUCUUCCUUCGACAGCGACUCUUUGUCACCCCCCUCAGAGAUACGCGGCGGAGGGGAGGAGGGAAGAAUGUGGGGGAAGAAACCGUGAAAAAUAAAAGGAAGCCGAGUUUGCGGUGGAAAAAUGAGAAAAAGAAAGAAAGAGAGAGAGAGAUAGGGAGACGGCUCGAGCCGCGGAAUUAUGGAGCGUGGAGAGACGGGUAUUUUCUUGCGGUAUUCUAUUCAAUCGGCCGCUUACUGCGAUUCCAACCAUUCUCAGCUUCGAUGGUAGCAGCCACUUUGCCGAAAUCACGCCCUCCUUUUGACAAUGACAUCAAGAUUUAUCGAAAUCCCGCAGGGGAUUCUAUGUAUCGUUAUUUUUGCGCUCCUGUUCCCUUUGUAUCGUAUUUCCCGUGCAACCAAUAAACCUUGAUUACGCUUUAUCAGACUGGCUUGUCAUCGUCAUUAUCAAUGAAUGCCGAAAAUCAAGAGAAUAUUGUAAGCUUUGCGUGGUUAAGAUUCGUUUUCUUCGGGAUCGAGUUAAAAAAAGAUUGGUUAAAAUUGAAAUUGUAGAACAAAUAUUUCUUCCACUUUCAACCAGGGGCGCAUCGUCGCGUAAGAAGUAAACAGGAAUGUCGAGCGAAAAAAGAAACUCGUGCAAACAGUACGAAAGAAUUAUAGACAAUAUUUCAUUUAUUUUCAACGUUUCAUCGUGCAAGAGGUAACAGAAAUGUCGAUUAAAAG